RNAcentral lists this ribosomal RNA (1404 nucleotides) under uncultured bacterium. RNAcentral's name for it is "partial 16S ribosomal RNA". It matches the Rfam family "Bacterial small subunit ribosomal RNA". The record is from RNAcentral.
AGAGUUUGAUCCUGGCUCAGGAUGCCUGCUAGCGGCAGGCUUAACACAUGCAGGUCGAGGGGCAGCGGGGAGGAAGCUUGCUUUCUCCGCCGGCGACCGGCGCACGGGUGAGUAACACGUAUGCAACCUGCCCCUGUCAGGGGGACAACCCGCCGAAAGGCGGGCUAAACCCGCGUACAUGCCACCGGGGCAUCCCGGAGGCAGGAAAGGCUUCGGCCGGACAGGGAUGGGCAUGCGGCGCAUUAGGCAGUAGGCGGGGUAACGGCCCACCUAACCGACGAUGCGUAGGGGUUCUGAGAGGAAGGUCCCCCACACUGGUACUGAGACACGGACCAGACUCCUACGGGAGGCAGCAGUGAGGAAUAUUGGUCAAUGGUCGGGAGACUGAACCAGCCAAGCCGCGUGAGGGAGGAAGGUACAGAGUAUCGUAAACCUCUUUUGUCAGGGAACAAAGGCGGGGACGUGUCCCCGGAUGAGUGUACCUGAAGAAAAAGCAUCGGCUAACUCCGUGCCAGCAGCCGCGGUAAUACGGAGGAUGCGAGCGUUAUCCGGAUUUAUUGGGUUUAAAGGGUGCGCAGGCGGUCUGUUAAGUCAGCGGUCAAAGCCCGGGGCUCAACCCCGGCCCGCCGUUGAAACUGGCAGUCUCGAGUUGGAGAGAAGUAUGCGGAAUGCGCGGUGUAGCGGUGAAAUGCAUAGAUAUCGCGCAGAACUCCGAUUGCGAAGGCAGCAUGCCGGCUCCACACUGACGCUGAGGCACGAAAGCGUGGGUAUCGAACAGGAUUAGAUACCCUGGUAGUCCACGCAGUAAACGAUGAAUGCUGGCUGUCCGGGGGGAUUGACCCCUGGGUGGCGAAGCGAAAGCGAUAAGCAUUCCACCUGGGGAGUACGCCGGCAACGGUGAAACUCAAAGGAAUUGACGGGGGCCCGCACAAGCGGAGGAACAUGUGGUUUAAUUCGAUGAUACGCGAGGAACCUUACCCGGGCUCAAACGGGGAGUGACUCAGGCAGAGACGCCUGUUUCCCACGGGACACUCCCCGAGGUGCUGCAUGGUUGUCGUCAGCUCGUGCCGUGAGGUGUCGGCUUAAGUGCCAUAACGAGCGCAACCCCCGCGUGCAGUUGCUAACAGAUAACGCUGAGGACUCUGCACGGACUGCCGGCGCAAGCCGCGAGGAAGGCGGGGAUGACGUCAAAUCAGCACGGCCCUUACGUCCGGGGCGACACACGUGUUACAAUGGGUGGUACAGCGGGAAGCCAGGCGGCGACGCCGAGCGGAACCCGAAAUCCACUCUCAGUUCGGAUCGGAGUCUGCAACCCGACUCCGUGAAGCUGGAUUCGCUAGUAAUCGCGCAUCAGCUAUGGCGCGGUGAAUACGUUCCCGGGCCUUGCACACACAGCCCGUCAAG